Molecule: long non-coding RNA, 428 nt
Organism: Gossypium raimondii (Peruvian cotton)
Lineage: Eukaryota; Viridiplantae; Streptophyta; Magnoliopsida; Malvales; Malvaceae
Exons: 3
Source: RefSeq, a predicted model, not a curated record
UAAGAUUUUAGCUUAUUACCAAUUAAAUUUUAUAAAAUCUGGUAAGUGGAAUUUAGAUUAACAUAAAUCUUUUAUUUAUUUAUUUUAAUUUAAAUUUACUAAAUCUCUAUUUUCACUCAUUGUAUCAACCGUUCACACUCUCACCCCACUUUGUACGCUACUUUCUUUUGUUUCCCUAUUCUGCGGUUUUAUCUUCUUUUCUCUUCCUUCUUUCUCCUCUUUGAUUAUUCCUGAAUACUACCGUUUAUUUUGUGAGUUCUGUCACUUGGAUCGUAUUCUGUUUGCAGUGUGAUCUUCAGAGUAAGGAUUGGAUGAUGACUAUAGAGCUCGUAUUUCACUCUUUCGGUUUAACUAACAAAGAACCAUAAGCACCGGCACGGAAGGGAAAAGAGAAGAUUUUCGAGGAGUAAACUCGAGAAAAGCACGGU